UUAAGCGACUAAGCGUACACGGUGGAUGCCCUGGCAGUCAGAGGCGAUGAAGGACGUGCUAAUCUGCGAAAAGCGUCGGUAAGGUGAUAUGAACCGUUAUAACCGGCGAUGUCCGAAUGGGGAAACCCAGUGCAAUUCGUUGCACUAUCGUUAACUGAAUACAUAGGUUAACGAGGCGAACCGGGGGAACUGAAACAUCUAAGUACCCCGAGGAAAAGAAAUCAACCGAGAUUCCCCCAGUAGCGGCGAGCGAACGGGGAGCAGCCCAGAGUCUGAAUCAGCUUGUGUGUUAGUGGAACGGUCUGGAAAGUCCGACGGUACAGGGUGAUAGUCCCGUACACCAAAAUGCACAGGCUGUGAACUCGAAGAGUAGGGCGGGACACGUGGUAUCCUGUCUGAAUAUGGGGACCAUCCUCCGCUAAAUACUCCUGACUGACCGAUAGUGAACCAGUACCGUGAGGGAAAGGCGAAAAGAACCCCGGCGAGGGGAGUGAAAAAGAACCUGAAACCGUGUACGUACAAGCAGUGGGAGCACCUUCGGGUGUGACUGCGUACCUUUUGUAUAAUGGGUCAGCGACUUAUAUUCUGUAGCAAGGUUAACCGUAUAGGGGAGCCGCAGGGAAACCGAGUCUUAACUGGGCGUUAAGUUGCAGGGUAUAGACCCGAAACCCGGUGAUCUAGCCAUGGGCAGGUUGAAGGUUGGGUAACACUAACUGGAGGACCGAACCGACUAAUGUUGAAAAAUUAGCGGAUGACUUGUGGCUGGGGGUGAAAGGCCAAUCAAACCGGGAGAUAGCUGGUUCUCCCCGAAAGCUAUUUAGGUAGCGCCUCGUGAACUCAUCUUCGGGGGUAGAGCACUGUUUCGGCUAGGGGGUCAUCCCGACUUACCAACCCGAUGCAAACUACGAAUACCGAAGAAUGUUAUCACGGGAGACACACGGCGGGUGCUAACGUCCGUCGUGAAGAGGGAAACAACCCAGACCGCCAGCUAAGGUCCCAAAGUCAUGGUUAAGUGGGAAACGAUGUGGGAAGGCACAGACAGCCAGGAUGUUGGCUUAGAAGCAGCCAUCAUUUAAAGAAAGCGUAAUAGCUCACUGGUCGAGUCGGCCUGCGCGGAAGAUGUAACGGGGCUAAACCAUGCACCGAAGCUGCGGCAGCGACACUAUGUGUUGUUGGGUAGGGGAGCGUUCUGUAAGCCUGCGAAGGUGUGCUGUGAGGCAUGCUGGAGGUAUCAGAAGUGCGAAUGCUGACAUAAGUAACGAUAAAGCGGGUGAAAAGCCCGCUCGCCGGAAGACCAAGGGUUCCUGUCCAACGUUAAUCGGGGCAGGGUGAGUCGACCCCUAAGGCGAGGCCGAAAGGCGUAGUCGAUGGGAAACAGGUUAAUAUUCCUGUACUUGGUGUUACUGCGAAGGGGGGACGGAGAAGGCUAUGUUAGCCGGGCGACGGUUGUCCCGGUUUAAGCAUGUAGGCUGGUUGUCCAGGCAAAUCCGGAUAAUCAAGGCUGAGGUGUGAUGACGAGGCACUACGGUGCUGAAGUAACAAAUGCCCUGCUUCCAGGAAAAGCCUCUAAGCAUCAGGUAACAUCAAAUCGUACCCCAAACCGACACAGGUGGUCAGGUAGAGAAUACCAAGGCGCUUGAGAGAACUCGGGUGAAGGAACUAGGCAAAAUGGUGCCGUAACUUCGGGAGAAGGCACGCUGGUGUGUAGGUGAAGUCCCUGCGGAUGGAGCUGAGACCAGUCGAAGAUACCAGCUGGCUGCAACUGUUUAUUAAAAAACACAGCACUGUGCAAACACGAAAGUGGACGUAUACGGUGUGACGCCUGCCCGGUGCCGGAAGGUUAAUUGAUGGGGUUAUCCGUAAGGAGAAGCUCUUGAUCGAAGCCCCGGUAAACGGCGGCCGUAACUAUAACGGUCCUAAGGUAGCGAAAUUCCUUGUCGGGUAAGUUCCGACCUGCACGAAUGGCGUAAUGAUGGCCAGGCUGUCUCCACCCGAGACUCAGUGAAAUUGAACUCGCUGUGAAGAUGCAGUGUACCCGCGGCAAGACGGAAAGACCCCGUGAACCUUUACUAUAGCUUGACACUGAACAUUGAGCCUUGAUGUGUAGGAUAGGUGGGAGGCUUUGAAGCGUGGACGCCAGUCUGCGUGGAGCCAACCUUGAAAUACCACCCUUUAAUGUUUGAUGUUCUAACGUUGGCCCCUUACCGGGGUUGCGGACAGUGUCUGGUGGGUAGUUUGACUGGGGCGGUCUCCUCCCAAAGCGUAACGGAGGAGCACGAAGGUUAGCUAAUCCUGGUCGGACAUCAGGAGGUUAGUGCAAUGGCAUAAGCUAGCUUGACUGCGAGCGUGACGGCGCGAGCAGGUGCGAAAGCAGGUCAUAGUGAUCCGGUGGUUCUGAAUGGAAGGGCCAUCGCUCAACGGAUAAAAGGUACGGGGAUAACAGGCUGAUACCGCCCAAGAGUUCAUAUCGACGGCGGUGUUUGGCACCUCGAUGUCGGCUCAUCACAUCCUGGGGCUGAAGUAGGUCCCAAGGGUAUGGCUGUUCGCCAUUUAAAGUGGUACGCGAGCUGGGUUUAGAACGUCGUGAGACAGUUCGGUCCCUAUCUGCCGUGGGCGCUGGAGAAUUGAGGGGGGCUGCUCCUAGUACGAGAGGACCGGAGUGGACGCAUCACUGGUGUUCGGGUUGUCAUGCCAAUGGCACUGCCCGGUAGCUAAAUGCGGAAGAGAUAAGUGCUGAAAGCAUCUAAGCACGAAACUUGCCCCGAGAUGAGUUCUCCCUGAGACUUUAAGUCUCCUGAAGGAACGUUAAAGACGAUGACGUUGAUAGGCCGGGUGUGUAAGCGCAGCGAUGCGUUGAGCUAACCGGUACUAAUGAACCGUGAGGCUUAACCU
This 2892-nucleotide ribosomal RNA is filed under the name Klebsiella pneumoniae. RNAcentral's name for it is "bacterial LSU rRNA". It matches the Rfam family "Bacterial large subunit ribosomal RNA". Lineage: Bacteria; Pseudomonadati; Pseudomonadota; Gammaproteobacteria; Enterobacterales; Enterobacteriaceae. The record is from RNAcentral.